GAUCAUGGCUCAGGACGAACGCUGGCGGCGUGCUUAACACAUGCAAGUCGAACGANAAUCUAUGGAACAAGGAUUCGUCCAAGUGAAAUAAGAGGACAGUGGCGGACGGGUGAGUAACGCGUGAGGAACCUGCCUUUCAGAGGGGGACAACAGUUGGAAACGACUGCUAAUACCGCAUGACAUAUAGAUGUCGCAUGGCAUUUAUUAUCAAAAGAAUUUAUUCGCUGAAAGAUGG
Molecule: ribosomal RNA, 235 nt
Filed under: uncultured bacterium
Lineage: Bacteria
Description: partial 16S ribosomal RNA
Rfam family: Bacterial small subunit ribosomal RNA
Source: RNAcentral